Molecule: unclassified non-coding RNA, 340 nt
Filed under: Hevea brasiliensis (rubber tree)
Lineage: Eukaryota; Viridiplantae; Streptophyta; Magnoliopsida; Malpighiales; Euphorbiaceae
Source: RNAcentral
GUCGUCAUCACUGCAGCUCUCCAAGUCUUUGUUUGGCUUCUCUCCACCUGAAGUCAAUGUAGCCAUCUUCACAAACUUCUGAUACAGCAAGUUGGGCUUGGGAUGAUUAUAACGGGUGGUCUCCUUAGAAAGGCUCCUUAUCUGUACUCCAUCCUGCCCAGUUUCCACUACCAAGUUGGCCGCAGUCUUGUUGAAGAGCUCAUUCCACCAGUGGUUUGUGAACUCCUUGGCAGGGUCAUGUCCUACCCCAUGAGUGUCUUGCUUCAGUGUCACCCUGAGAGCCUGAGUGAUACCAUUCUCCUUCCGGCCGAGGCCUUUGCCUUGAGUCCAUCCAUGCUUU